RNAcentral lists this ribosomal RNA (1346 nucleotides) under uncultured bacterium. RNAcentral's name for it is "partial 16S ribosomal RNA". It matches the Rfam family "Bacterial small subunit ribosomal RNA", at positions 28 to 1381 of the family's 1533-position model. The record is from RNAcentral.
GACGAACGCUGGCGGCAUGCUUAACACAUGCAAGUCGAACGGAAAGGCCCUGCUUUUGUGGGGUGCUCGAGUGGCGAACGGGUGAGUAACACGUGAGUAACCUGCCCUUGACUUUGGGAUAACUUCAGGAAACUGGGGCUAAUACCGGAUAGGAGCUCCUGCUGCAUGGUGGGGGUUGGAAAGUUUCGGCGGUUGGGGAUGGACUCGCGGCUUAUCAGCUUGUUGGUGGGGUAGUGGCUUACCAAGGCUUUGACGGGUAGCCGGCCUGAGAGGGUGACCGGCCACAUUGGGACUGAGAUACGGCCCAGACUCCUACGGGAGGCAGCAGUGGGGAAUAUUGCACAAUGGGCGGAAGCCUGAUGCAGCAACGCCGCGUGCGGGAUGACGGCCUUCGGGUUGUAAACCGCUUUCGCCUGUGACGAAGCGUGAGUGACGGUAAUGGGUAAAGAAGCACCGGCUAACUACGUGCCAGCAGCCGCGGUGAUACGUAGGGUGCGAGCGUUGUCCGGAUUUAUUGGGCGUAAAGGGCUCGUAGGUGGUUGAUCGCGUCGGAAGUGUAAUCUUGGGGCUUAACCCUGAGCGUGCUUUCGAUACGGGUUGACUUGAGGAAGGUAGGGGAGAAUGGAAUUCCUGGUGGAGCGGUGGAAUGCGCAGAUAUCAGGAGGAACACCAGUGGCGAAGGCGGUUCUCUGGGCCUUUCCUGACGCUGAGGAGCGAAAGCGUGGGGAGCGAACAGGCUUAGAUACCCUGGUAGUCCACGCUGUAAACGGUGGGUACUAGGUGUGGGGUCCAUUCCACGGGUUCCGUGCCGUAGCUAACGCUUUAAGUACCCCGCCUGGGGAGUACGGCUGCAAGGCUAAAACUCAAAGGAAUUGACGGGGCCCCGCACAAGCGGCGGAGCAUGCGGAUUAAUUCGAUGCAACGCGUAGAACCUUACCUGGGUUUGACAUGGAUCGGGAGUGCUCAGAGAUGGGUGUGCCUCUUUUGGGGUCGGUUCACAGGUGGUGCAUGGCUGUCGUCAGCUCGUGUCGUGAGAUGUUGGGUUAAGUCCCGCAACGAGCGCAACCCUUGUUCACUGUUGCCAGCACGUUAUGGUGGGGACUCAGUGGAGACCGCCGGGGUCAACUCGGAGGAAGGUGGGGAUGACGUCAAGUCAUCAUGCCCCUUAUGUCCAGGGCUUCACGCAUGCUACAAUGGCUGGUACAGAGAGUGGCGAGCCUGUGAGGGUGAGCGAAUCUCGGAAAGCCGGUCUCAGUUCGGAUUGGGGUCUGCAACUCGACCUCAUGAAGUCGGAGUCGCUAGUAAUCGCAGAUCAGCAACGCUGCGGUGAAUACGUUCCCGGGGCU